UUGACUAUCUUGCAGGUUAAGAGUUGAUCAUGAGAAAAUUUUGAUAAUGUGUUGAAGGGAGCAUCAGUAGAAGAUGGUAGGAGUAUUGCAGUUCUUCGAUUUCGGUCAAACCAGCUCCUCCCGUAAGUUGCUGGCACUCAAUCGACACAAUAGUGGUCUUGAACCUCCUAGAAAUAGCUUAGAGGUUCCUCCUAUGAAUACUUAUCAUAAUUUUCAACUGGUUCAUGAAGACAUUCAAUGCUCAAGUUACUAUAAAGAGGACAUUUGCCAACAAUCUCACACCAAAAAAUUGAUUGCUGUUGAAAGGCUCCACAGAACAAAGGAUUAGCAUAAUAGACCCAGUGUUGUGGCUCGAUUAAUGGGAAUGGAGUCACUGCCUUCAGACACCAAGCCUACUAUACAUCAAUUCAUCAAUAAGUCUCUAUCAGCUUUGGGAGAUGUGAUCUCUGCUCUUGCCUCCAAGAACCCACAUAUUCCAUAUAGGAACUCUAAGCUAACACAUUUGCUCCAGAGCUCUCUAGGUGAGAAAAAACCUUAAGAAUAGUAAACAAUCAAACUCCACAA
This is a long non-coding RNA of Zingiber officinale, 564 nucleotides long. RefSeq lists it as uncharacterized. NCBI's taxonomy places the organism in Eukaryota, Viridiplantae, Streptophyta, Magnoliopsida, Zingiberales, Zingiberaceae. The record is from RefSeq and is a predicted model, not a curated record. The transcript is spliced from 4 exons.